UGCGUAGGCGGACUAAUAAGUCAGUGGUGAAAUCUCUCGGCUCAACCGGGAAACUGCCAUUGAUACUGUUAGUCUUGAGUUCGGUUGAGGUAGGCGGAAUGUGUAAUGUAGCGGUGAAAUGUUUAGAUAUUACACAGAACACCAAUUGCGUAGGCAGCUUACUAGACCGACACUGACGCUGAGGCACGAAAGCGUGGGUAGCGAACAGGAUUAGAUACCCUGGUAGUCC
RNAcentral lists this ribosomal RNA (229 nucleotides) under uncultured bacterium. RNAcentral describes it as "partial 16S ribosomal RNA". It matches the Rfam family "Bacterial small subunit ribosomal RNA", at positions 568 to 796 of the family's 1533-position model. The record is from RNAcentral.